UACGGAGGGGGCUAGCGUUGUUCGGAAUUACUGGGCGCAAAGCGCACGUAGGCGGCUUUGUAAGUUAGAGGUGAAAGCCCGGGGCUUAACCCCGGAAUAGCCUUUAAGACUGCAUCGCUUGAACACGGGAGAGGUGAGUGGAAUUCCGAGUGUAGAGGUGAAAUUCGUAGAUAUUCGGAAGAACACCAGUGGCGAAGGCGGCUCACUGGACCGUUGUUGACGCUGAGGUGCGAAAGCGUGGGGAGCAAACAGG
Molecule: ribosomal RNA, 253 nt
Filed under: uncultured bacterium
Lineage: Bacteria
Description: partial 16S ribosomal RNA
Rfam family: Bacterial small subunit ribosomal RNA
Source: RNAcentral